CCCUUAGAUGUUCUGGGCCGCACGCGUGCUACACUGAGUGGAUCAGCGGGUCAGGUUGCGCGAAAGUGUUUCCUAAUCUUUAAAUCCGCUCGUGAUGGGGAUUGACGGUUGCAAUUUUCCGUCAUGAACGAGGAAUACCUUGUAAGCGCGGGUCAUCAUCCCGCGCUGAAUACGUCCCUGCCCUUUGUACACACCGCCCGUCGCUCCUACCGAUUGGGUGAUCCGGUGAAUGAUUCGGACUGACGUUGUACUAGCUACUAGUUCAAUGUUAGGAAGUUUUGUGAACCUAAUCACUUGGAGGAAGGAGAAGUCGUAACA
RNAcentral lists this ribosomal RNA (318 nucleotides) under uncultured eukaryote. RNAcentral describes it as "partial 18S ribosomal RNA". It matches the Rfam family "Eukaryotic small subunit ribosomal RNA", at positions 1470 to 1796 of the family's 1831-position model. The record is from RNAcentral.